GGUAGUCCACGCCGUAAACGAUGAAUGCCAGCUGUUGGGGUGCUUGCACCGCAGUAGCGCAGCUAACGCUUUGAGCAUUCCGCCUGGGGAGUACGGUCGCAAGAUUAAAACUCAAAGGAAUUGACGGGGGCCCGCACAAGCGGUGGAGCAUGUGGUUUAAUUCGGAGCAACGCGCAGAACCUUACCAUCCUUUGACAUGGCGUGUUACCCAGAGAGAUUUGGGGUCCACUUCGGUGGCGCGCACACAGGUGCUGCAUGGCUGUCGUCAGCUCGUGUCGCGAGAUGUUGGGUUAAGUCCCGCAACGAGCGCAACCCACGUCCUUAGUUGCCAUCAUUCAGUUGGGCACUCUAGGGAGACUGCCGGUGAUAAGCCGCGAGGAAGGUGUGGAUGACGUCAAGUCCUCAUGGCCCUUACGGGAUGGGCUACACACGUGCUACAAUGGCGGUGACAGUGGGACGCGAAGGAGCGAUCUGGAGCAAAUCCCCAAAAGCCGUCUCAGUUCGGAUUGCACUCUGCAACUCGAGUGCAUGAAGGCGGAAUCGCUAGUAAUCGUGGAUCAGCAUGCCACGGUGAAUACGUUCCCGGGCCUUGUACACACCGCCCGUCACACCAUGGGAGUUGGUCUUACCCGACGGCGCUGCGCCAACCGCAAGGAGGCAGGCGACCACGGUAGGGUCAGCGACUGGGGUGAAGUCGUAACAAGGUAGCCGUAGGGGAACCUGC
Molecule: ribosomal RNA, 724 nt
Filed under: uncultured bacterium
Lineage: Bacteria
Description: bacterial SSU rRNA
Rfam family: Bacterial small subunit ribosomal RNA
Source: RNAcentral